GAGGGGAGGGGAAAGGGCGGGCAAGCUGCUCUUAAGGCAGGUCUGGAGGUGAUCUGGCUGCCUCUCCUGACUCCUCACCUGGACUGUGAGUCGUCCUGAUCCAGUAGUGAAUGCAACAGCCUGCCCACCUGUGGACACCAGAUCCUGGGAGCUCCUGGUUGGCAAAUGAGAUCUACGGGAUGUCAGUGAGGCUGGUUGAAAACCAGAGGUAAACUGCAGAGGUCGCCGCCCCCACCAUGUCCCAGGUGAUGUCCAGCCCACUGCUGGCAGGAAGCCACACUGUCAGCUUGACACCUCGUGAUGAGCCCAGAAGGUCCCUGCACCCAGCCCCCAGCCCCAGCCUGCCACCCCAGUGUUCUUACUACACCACAGAAGGCUGGGGAGCCCAGGCCCUGAUGGCCCCCAUGCCCUGCAUGGGGCCCCCUGGCCGACUCCAGCAAGCCCCACAGGUGGAGGCCAAAGCCACCUGCUUCCUGCCAUCCCCUGGUGAACAAGCCUUGGGGACCCCGGAGGACCUUGACUCCUACAUUGACUUCUCACUGGAGAGCCUCAAUCAGAUGAUCCUGGAACUGGACCCCACCUUCCAGCUGCUUCCCCCGGGGACUGGGGGCCCCCAGGCUGAGCCGACCCAGAGCACCACGUCAAUGAGAAAGAAGGAAGAACCUGAAGCCUUGGAUAUAAAGUACAUCGAGGUGACCAGAUCCAGGUGCCAUGAUGACCCCCAGCGCUGCUCCAGCCCCUCUGUCACCCCACCCUUCGGCUCCCCUCGCAGCGGUGGCCUCCUCCUUUCCAGAGAUGUCUCCCGAGAGACCCGAAGCAGCAGUGAGAGCCUCAUCUUCUCUGGGAACCAGGGCAGGGGGCACCAGUGCCCUCUGCCCCCCUCAGAGGGUCUCUCCUCUCAACCCCCAAAUUCCCCCAGCAUCUCCAUCCCUUGCAUGGGGAGCAAGACCUCAGGCCCCCAUGGCUUGGGCUCCCCGCUGGUGGCUUCUCCAAGAUUGGAGAAGAGGCUGGGAGGCCUGGCCCCACAGCAGGGCAGCAGGGUCUGCGUGCUGUCAGCCAGCCCAUUGUCUGAUGCCAGCUAUACGUUUGGAAGCAGCCAGUCCCUCCUGCACUCCAGCAUCUCCAGCCAUCAGUCAUCUUCCAGAUCCUUGGAAAGUCCUGCCAGCUCUUCCUCCAGCCUCCACAGCCUUGGCUCAGUGUCCCUUUGUACAAGACCCAGUGACUUCCAGGCUCCCAGAAACCCCACCCUAACCGUGGGCCAACCCAGAUCACCCCACUCUCCACCACUGGCCAAAGAACAUGCCAGCAGUUGCCCCCCAUCCGUCACCAACUCCAUGGUGGACAUACCCAUUGUGCUGAUCAACGGCUACCCAGAACCAGGGUCUUCUCCACCCCAGUGGAUCCCAGGACACCAGGGCUCUGUCCGAACUGGAGCAGCUUCUCCCAGGAACCCCUGUCCAGCCACCAGGAGUCACAGCCAGACCCUGUCAGAUGCCCCCUUCACCACGUGCCCAGAGGGACCCGUCAGGGACAUGCAGCCCACCAUGAAGUUCGUGAUGGACACAUCUAAAUACUGGUUUAAGCCAAACAUCACCCGAGAGCAAGCAAUCGAGCUGCUGAGGAAGGAGAAGCCAGGGGCUUUUGUCAUAAGGGACAGCUCUUCAUACCGAGGCUCCUUCGGCCUGGCCCUGAAGGUGCAGGAGGCCCCCGAAUCUGCCCAGAACCGACCAGGCGAGGACAGCAAUGACCUUAUCCGACACUUCCUCAUCGAGUCUUCCGCCAAAGGAGUGCAUCUCAAAGGAGCAGAUGAGGAGCCCUAUUUUGGGAGCCUCUCUGCCUUCGUGUGCCAGCAUUCCAUCAUGGCCCUGGCCCUGCCCUGCAAACUCGCCAUCCCGCAGAAAGGGCCUGUUGCUUUGUCUUGGCUCAGAACUGGGAGGUGCAGACGGGGCAUCGGACUCUGCAGACAGCCCAGCCUCCUGCCAGAAGAAAUCUGUGGGCUGCCACACCCUGUACCUGAGCUCGGUGAGCGUGGAGACCCUGACUGGAGCCCUGGCUGUGCAGAAGGCCAUCUCCACCACCUUUGAGAGGGACGUCCUCCCCACACCCACCGUGGUCCACUUCAAAGUUACAGAGCAGGGCAUCACCCUGACCGAUGUCCAGAGGAAGGUGUUUUUCCGGCGACAUUACCCACUCACCACCCUCCGCUUCUGUGGUAUGGACCCUGAGCAACGGAAGUGGCAGAAGUACUGCAAGCCCUCCUGGAUCUUUGGGUUUGUGGCCAAAAGCCAGACAGAGCCUCAGGAGAACGUGUGCCACCUCUUUGCGGAGUACGACACGGUCCAGCCAGCCUCGAAGGUCAUCAGCCUGGUGACUGCUCUGCUGCAGGAUGCAGAAAGGAUGUAGGGGAGGGACUGCCUGUGCACCUGCCUGACGCCUCCAGGGGCGUGCUCAGGAGCCCUCCUGUACCCCCUGAAUGGGUGUGGCUUGUGGCCAUAUUGGAUUGGCAUCAAUUCAAUUGGGAUUGGCAUCAAGUUGACACCCUGGAACCUGCUGUGGCCUUCAGCAGUCACCAUCAUCCAAACCCCCCGGGCCUCAGUUUCCUCAACCGUAGAAGGAGACCAAUAGACAAAAUCAGCUGUUCUCAGAUGCUGGCAGGCAUCCUGAUGAAUGAACGCGCUGAGAGUUCGUCAUGAUGAACAUGCUCCUCCGUGAUUCUGAAGCAUGCCCACAUCUGAGGACCCCGCCAUGAAAAUAACCUCUGAGAACCCUCUGACCCCAUCGACCUGGGCUCUGUGGACACCAUAGUCUGAGCGAGAGACCUGCGGCCCCUGUUUCAUGGCAGACAGCAGGUGCCUGGCGGUGACCCAUAGGGCUCCAGGCCUGCAGCUGGUGAUGGUCAAGGAUUGACCACAAAACGGGAAUGGAUAGACUCU
Non-coding RNA from Saimiri boliviensis boliviensis (Bolivian squirrel monkey), 2933 nucleotides. NCBI's taxonomy places the organism in Eukaryota, Metazoa, Chordata, Mammalia, Primates, Cebidae. The record is from RefSeq and is a predicted model, not a curated record.